GCAGGCAUGGCCGAGUGGUUUAAGGCGAUGGUUUUAAGUUCUCAAAAAAGAGUAUGUUUGUUCAUACUACUUUAACAACUUUUCACCAUUAUCGAGAGAUGCGUGGGUUCGAACCCCACUGCCUGCA
Molecule: non-coding RNA, 127 nt
Organism: Podospora fimiseda
Lineage: Eukaryota; Fungi; Ascomycota; Sordariomycetes; Sordariales; Podosporaceae
Source: the annotation of a GenBank genome assembly